UGGGGGACAACGUUUCGAAAGGAACGCUAAUACCGCAUACGUCCUACGGGAGAAAGCAGGGGACCUUCGGGCCUUGCGCUAUCAGAUGAGCCUAGGUCGGAUUAGCUAGUUGGUGGGGUAAUGGCUCACCAAGGCGACGAUCCGUAACUGGUCUGAGAGGAUGAUCAGUCACACUGGAACUGAGACACGGUCCAGACUCCUACGGGAGGCAGCAGUGGGGAAUAUUGGACAAUGGGCGAAAGCCUGAUCCAGCCAUGCCGCGUGUGUGAAGAAGGUCUUCGGAUUGUAAAGCACUUUAAGUUGGGAGGAAGGGCAGUAAGUUAAUACCUUGCUGUUUUGACGUUACCGACAGAAUAAGCACCGGCUAACUCUGUGCCAGCAGCCGCGGUAAUACAGAGGGUGCAAGCGUUAAUCGGAAUUACUGGGCGUAAAGCGCGCGUAGGUGGUUUGUUAAGUUGGAUGUGAAAGCCCCGGGCUCAACCUGGGAACUGCAUCCAAAACUGGCAAGCUAGAGUACGGUAGAGGGUGGUGGAAUUUCCUGU
This 542-nucleotide ribosomal RNA is filed under the name Pseudomonas putida. RNAcentral describes it as "bacterial SSU rRNA". It matches the Rfam family "Bacterial small subunit ribosomal RNA", at positions 137 to 674 of the family's 1533-position model. The record is from RNAcentral. Lineage: Bacteria; Pseudomonadati; Pseudomonadota; Gammaproteobacteria; Pseudomonadales; Pseudomonadaceae.